RNAcentral lists this ribosomal RNA (541 nucleotides) under Anolis cusuco. RNAcentral describes it as "partial 16S ribosomal RNA". It matches the Rfam family "Bacterial large subunit ribosomal RNA", at positions 1807 to 2609 of the family's 2925-position model. Lineage: Eukaryota; Metazoa; Chordata; Lepidosauria; Squamata; Anolidae. The record is from RNAcentral.
CCAAAAACAUAGCCUUUAGCUAAACUAAGUAUUAAAGGUAACGCCUGCCCAGUGAAAUUUAAACGGCCGCGGUAUCCUAACCGUGCAAAGGUAGCGUAAUCACUUGUCUUAUAAAUAAAGACCUGUAUGAACGGCUAAAUGAGUAUUAAGCUGUCUCCUUUAACUAAUCAGUGAAACUGAUCUUCCAGUACAAAAGCUAGAAUAAAGACAUAAGACGAGAAGACCCUGUGGAGCUUUAAAUUCCUAUCAAAAUAUAUGUACCUUAUAUUUAUGAUUAGUUAUUUUUAGUUGGGGCGACUUUGGAGUAAAACUUAACCUCCAAGAAAAGGUGUAGCCUAGACAAGGCCUACUAGCCAACCACAUAGAUCCAGUAUUACUGAUCAACGAACCAAGUUACCCCAGGGAUAACAGCGCUAUCUUCUUCAAGAGUUCAUAUCGACAAGAAGGUUUACGACCUCGAUGUUGGAUCAGGACACCCAAAUGGUGCAGCCGCUAUUAAAGGUUCGUUUGUUCAACGAUUAAUAGUCCUACGUGAUCUGAG